This 443-nucleotide unclassified non-coding RNA is filed under the name Ascomycota sp. Iso308. RNAcentral's name for it is "sequence contains ITS1, 5.8S rRNA gene, ITS2". The stretch from base 110 to 260 matches the Rfam family "5.8S ribosomal RNA". The record is from RNAcentral. Lineage: Eukaryota; Fungi; Ascomycota.
CCUUGAUAUUGCUUUGGCAGCGGGGCAACCCCCGGGCCUUCCGCCUUGGUGUGCCUGCAAAGGAAACAAACUCUGUUUUUAGUGAUGUCUGAUACUAUAUAAAAGUUAAAACUUUCAACAACGGAUCUCUUGGUUCUGGCAUCGAUGAAGAACGCACGAAAUGCGAUAAGUAAUGUGAAUUGCAGAAUUCUGAAUCAUCGAAUCUUUGAACGCACAUUGCGCCCCGUGGUAUUCCGCGGGGCAUGCCUGUUCGAGCGUCAUUUCCACCCAUCAAGCUUCGGCUUGGUCUUGGGGCCUGCCAUUCCGCACCUCUAAACCCAGUGGCGGUGCCUCCGACUCUGAGAUUAAUUCUUCUCGCUGUAGGUCUCGGUGGUGUCUUGCCAACCCCCAUUUUUACUGGUUGACCAAAUCAAUGAUACCCACUAUUUUAACUAUCAAUAAAA